This 528-nucleotide ribosomal RNA is filed under the name Deosergestes henseni. Its description in RNAcentral is "partial large subunit ribosomal RNA". It matches the Rfam family "Bacterial large subunit ribosomal RNA", at positions 1831 to 2597 of the family's 2925-position model. Lineage: Eukaryota; Metazoa; Arthropoda; Malacostraca; Decapoda; Sergestidae. The record is from RNAcentral.
GUCUGUGCGAAGGUAUGUAGAGUCUGGCCUGCCCACUGACUUAAAACUGUUUGAAGGGCCGCGGUAUCUUGACCGUGCGAAGGUAGCAUAAUCAUUAGUCUUUUAAUUGAAGGCUCGUAUGAAUGGUCGGACAAAAAGUAAGCUGUCUUCAAUUAUAAAAACUGAAUUUGACUUUUAAGUGAAAAGGCUUAAAUAAAACAAAGUGACGAUAAGACCCUAUAAAGCUUUACAGCGUAAUUUUUUAUUAUAAAUUAUCAAAAUGUAUAACUUAAUUCAAAAUAAAGCUUUUUCGUUGGGGCGACGGAAAUAUAAUUUAAAUAACUGUUUUUACCCUAGAGAACAAAUAUAAUUGACCUAAAAUAAAUGAUCCUCAACUAGAGAUUAAAAGAUUAAGUUACUUUAGGGAUAACAGCGUAAUCUUCUUUGAGAGUUCAUAUCGACAAGAAGGGUUGCGACCUCGAUGUUGAAUUAAGGUUCCUUGGUGGUGCAGCAGCUACGAUUGGAGGUCUGUUCGACCUUUAAAUCCUU